GGGAUCGUAGUUAAUUAUAACAUUUGAAUUGCAUACAAAAAGUAUUGAAUUUUCAAUCUAUCUCA
RNAcentral lists this transfer RNA (65 nucleotides) under Cryptocercus sp. 2 ZQW-2021c. RNAcentral's name for it is "tRNA-Ala". The record is from RNAcentral. Lineage: Eukaryota; Metazoa; Arthropoda; Insecta; Blattodea; Cryptocercidae.